Molecule: ribosomal RNA, 722 nt
Filed under: unidentified archaeon
Lineage: Archaea
Description: bacterial SSU rRNA
Rfam family: Archaeal small subunit ribosomal RNA
Source: RNAcentral
UGGGGAUAACCCCGGGAAACUGGGGAUAAUACCCCAUAGACUAUGGAUGCUGGAAUGCUCUGUAGUUGAAAGGUCAGCCGCCAUAGGAUGGGUCUGCGGCCGAUUAGGUUGUUGUUGGGGUAACGGCCCAACAAGCCUGUAAUCGGUACGGGUUGUGGGAGCGAGAGCCCGGAGAUGGAUUCUGAGACACGAAUCCAGGCCCUACGGGGCGCAGCAGGCGCGAAAACUUUACAAUGCGGGAAACCGUGAUAAGGGAACUCCGAGUGCCCGUUAAAUCGGGCUGUCCAUCUGUGUAAAAAACAGGUGAAGAAAGGGCCGGGCAAGACCGGUGCCAGCCGCCGCGGUAAUACCGGCGGCUCGAGUGGUGGCCACUAUUACUGGGCUUAAAGCGUUCGUAGCUGGUCUGUUAAGUCUCUGGGGAAAUCUACUGGCUUAACCAAUAGGCGUCUCAGGGAUACUGGCAGACUAGGGACCGGGAGAGGUGAGAGGUACUCCAGGGGUAGGAGUGAAAUCCUGUAAUCCUUGGGGGACCACCUGUGGCGAAGGCGUCUCACCAGAACGGCUCCGACAGUGAGGGACGAAAGCUGGGGGAGCAAACCGGAUUAGAUACCCGGGUAGUCCCAGCUGUAAACGAUGCGCGUUAGGUGUAUCGGUGACCACGAGUCAUCGAGGUGCCGAAGAGAAAUCGUGAAACGUGCCGCGUGGGAAGUACGGUCGCAAGG